CCGUCUCGAUCUGAUCCGGGCUGAUGAAGUGCACGUGGGUAUCGAUGCCGCCGGCCGUGAGGAUCUUGCCCUCGCCCGCGAUGAUGUCCGUGGCCACGCCGAUGAUGAUGUCGACGCCGUCCAUGGUGUCCGGGUUGCCGGCCUUGCCGAUCUUGAAGAUGUGCCCGUCGCGCAGGGCCACGUCGGCCUUGUAGAUGCCGGUCCAGUCGAUGACCACCACGUUGGUGAUCACGGUGUCCGGGAUGCCGACGUCGCGGACCAGCUGCCCGUUCUGGCCCAUGCCGUCGCGCAC
This 292-nucleotide small RNA is filed under the name Kocuria palustris PEL. Its description in RNAcentral is "5' ureB small RNA". It matches the Rfam family "5' ureB small RNA". The record is from Rfam by way of RNAcentral. Lineage: Bacteria; Bacillati; Actinomycetota; Actinomycetes; Micrococcales; Micrococcaceae.